AGAGUUUGAUCAUGGCUCAGAUUGAACGCUGGCGGCGUGCUUAACACAUGCAAGUCGAACGAGAACGGUUUCCUUCGGGGAACUUAUUAAAGUGGCGCACGGGUGAGUAACGCGUAGAUAAUCUACCUUUAAGCUUGGGAUAACGGACCGAAAGGUCCCCUAAUACCAGAUACGCUCUUUUUAACAUAAGUUAAAAAGAAGAAAGAUGGCCUCUCCUUGGAAGCUAUUGCUUAUUGAUGAGUUUGCGUACCAUUAGCUAGUUGGUGGGGUAAGAGCCUACCAAGGCAACGAUGGUUAGCGGGUCUGAGAGGAUGAUCCGCCACACUGGAACUGAAACACGGACCAGACUCCUACGGGAGGCAGCAGUGAGGAAUUUUGCGCAAUGGGGGAAACCCUGACGCAGCGACGUCGCGUGGACGAUGAAGGCCUUAGGGUUGUAAAGUCCUGUCAGAAGGGAAGAAAUGGAUAUAGCCUAAUACGUUAUAUCCUUGACGGUACCUUCAAAGGAAGCACCGGCUAACUCCGUGCCAGCAGCCGCGGUAAUACGGAGGGUGCAAGCGUUAAUCGGAAUUACUGGGCGUAAAGGGCGCGUAGGCGGCCUAUCAAGUCAGGUGUGAAAUCCCACGGCUCAACCGUGGAGGUGCAUCUGAAACUGAUAGGCUUGAGUAUGGGAGAGGAAAGUGGAAUUCCCGGUGUAGAGGUGAAAUUCGUAGAUAUCGGGAGGAACACCAGUGGCGAAAGGCGANUUUCUGGACCAAUACUGACGCUGAGNCGCGAAAGCGUGGGGAGCAAACAGGAUUAGAUACCCUGNAGUCCACAGCUGUAACGAUGUCAACUAG
This 839-nucleotide ribosomal RNA is filed under the name uncultured bacterium. Its description in RNAcentral is "bacterial SSU rRNA". It matches the Rfam family "Bacterial small subunit ribosomal RNA", at positions 8 to 819 of the family's 1533-position model. The record is from RNAcentral.